GGCGAACGCUGGCGGCGUGCUUAACACAUGCAAGUCGAACGGAAAGGCCCUGCUUUUGUGGGGUGCUCGAGGGGCGAACGGGUGAGUAACACGUGAGUAACCUGCCCUUGACUUUGGGAUAACUUCAGGAAACUGGGGCUAAUACCGGAUAGGAGCUCCUGCUGCAUGGUGGGGGUUGGAAAGUUUCGGCGGUUGGGGAUGGACUCGCGGCUUAUCAGCUUGUUGGUGGGGGAGUGGCUUACCAAGGCUUUGACGGGUAGCCGGCCUGAGAGGGUGACCGGCCACAAUGGGACUGAGAUACGGACCAGACUCCUACGGUAGGCAGCAGGGGGGAAUAUUGCACAAUGGGCGGAAGCCUGAUGCAGCAACGCCGCGUGCGGGAUGACGGCCUUCGGGUUGUAAACCGCUUUCGCCUGUGACGAAGCGUGAGUGACGGUAAUGGGUAAAGAAGCACCGGCUAACUACGUG
This 468-nucleotide ribosomal RNA is filed under the name uncultured bacterium. RNAcentral describes it as "partial 16S ribosomal RNA". It matches the Rfam family "Bacterial small subunit ribosomal RNA", at positions 28 to 507 of the family's 1533-position model. The record is from RNAcentral.